UUUUCAUGUGUGUGUGCCAUAGUAUGUAUGCGGCAGUCAGGAUGAGUUGCUACAGUGAGUUCUCUCCUUCCAUUGUGUGUGUUGAGAAGUGAGUUCAUCAGGCUGGUGCCUUUACUGGCUGAGCCAUGUUGCUGCAUCUUGAUUUUGCCAUCUGGAACUUGAAGACAAGAGUUAUUGUUGCAUCUGAAGGUGUUGGAUGCCCUCUCAUUUCUUUUCACCCCAUUUCGUAGUCCACUAAACUGCCUUCCAAAGUUUGAUCUUUUUGCACACUUCGAUACUACUAUACCACAACUUUCUCUGCCUCCGUGGAAUCGGGUUAAGCAGGUUGGGUGAAGAAGAGGCAUAUAACAGAUAAUUGAAGGGACAUGCUUUGCAGCUUCAAAUUCAUCUGCAUGGCAUCCAGCCACAGCCACACGGUGAUGGCGAUAAAAUGUGGAUGUGGGAAACAUCAGCUUCCACUUUGCAAAAGCUUAAGAGCCGGCAAUUGAUUGAAUGGAAUGAGAAGAUGAAGAGAAUUAGAAGUGAUAUUCCUAAGGUGUUCUGCAGACCAACACACCAGACAGAAGACAUGGAUUAAGAAGAAAGAAUGAAAAAAAAGAGAGAAAAGAAAAAGAAACAACACACACACAGCAUCGGAUGAAUUUUAGAGUUGCUGACAAUUCAGAAACAUGAAGGAACAAGGAGAGAAAAAAAGUGGACAAUGUCCUGGACCAAAGUACGAAAGAGGUGUUUUGAGAAAGGGAUGCCAUAAGAAAUAGCAUAAGAGUCAGUAAAUAUUUGGGGAGAGAUGGAGUGGGAAUGGAGGGAGGGAAGGGAAGAUGGAGAGACGGAGGGAUUGUAGGAGACAAGCAGCAUGAUAUCUCAGGCUUUAGGAAAUAGAUUGCUGGGGUUUACAAAAAGGGCAGGCCACAUUCCAAGGUCAAGAAAGGCAAAAGUUCAUGUGGCUCACCAGACAAUCUUUGAAAAGUAGAAAUCCUAACAAUUUAAUCACAAAUGAGCGUACUAGAGAAGUGAAUGCAGUAUUGACAUUUAGCAAUGCAGCCACAAAGACUCACUCUCCAGACAGCAUCCAGUUAUAGGGCAUCCGCAGAAAUAGAAGGAAACCUGACUCAGCUAGAGGAGGGAGGGAAACAUGGAGGAAUGUCAAGUCGGCUGAGUACAAUGUACAUUUGAAAACACUGCUACAAGGGUUUGUAACUUCUGAAACUAACUUCAUCUACAGUUGCUUCCAUAGAUAGAACCCCUGACUAAUAUGAAAAUGCUUUGCAUGAUACUUUCAUAAUAUGUUUAUCAGCAAGGAGAAAUGUUUCCAAGAGUGACAUGAUAGAACAAGGACAAUCUGGAGCUCAAGUCAUGUGAGCUAAAAAACUGUAAAGAAAAACCCAUUGGUUUGUACAGGGGUAAAGCAUCGAGUGAAUUAAAUAGUAAAAGCCUGGAAGAUCAAAGAGCAUGAGAGUUGUAAGAUUGGCUUGGAAAGGAGAAUGAUGAGAGGCUUAUGAAAUACCAACAGGUCAUUGACCCUGAUUUUAAGGGGAAAUAGUGAGAUUCCUUAAUAUUUACUGUUUACUAAAAUACUGUCAAAUUCUUGCUGGCUUUUAGGAACACUAACCAUAAUGCUUUGUGAGAACCUAUGUAGAAAUGUAGUGUUACUGGAACCAACUUUGACUUAUUGCUAGCCACACAUUCCCUUCCCAAAUGAGGCGUAUGGAGUGAUAGGCAGGAAAGCUGAAGUUGAAGUAUAUCUUUGGUUUCAAAAGAAAUUUAUUGGACAGAAUAAUUUAAGUAAUUCUGGGUCAGACAGAAAAUGUUAAGUUGCAUUAACUUAUCCAAGAUAUGCUUCUAUCCCACACUGAUGGUUGAAAAUUUUUUAUUUAAUCCUCAGUAGUCUUGUACUGUAUUUCACCUGAACCAACAGGACAAUUUUUUGUUCCCUGGAAUUUAAGAUAACACAAUAGUGUCUUGACCUGUGUACUAGGGAGAGAUGAACUCUUAGCUGGCCAUUCUUGGAUUCUGUGGUCUUUCGUGGCAUGUUGUCCUCCUUUGUGUCUUAGUACUUUCGGUUUCAUACACACUAUUCUGGAGGGAGCAGAUCAGGUGCUCCUAGUAAACUGUAGAUAUUCAAUGAUUCAGAACUGUCUGAUGUCCCCACGGGAUAUGUGGCAGGAAGUAAACAACAGCAUUUAGUCUUGCUAGUGCUGUUGACUAUGAUAGCAGACAGCAGAGCAUUCAUUGUUCAUGCUCCUCUUUGCUGGGACCUUCUUAUUGCCUUCUGCUCUACUCCAGUUCCUCCCUGUAGCUGAUGAUGAAGGUGGAUUCCUGGACGGCAAGGUUUGAAUUGAUCCAUCUUUUCCUAAUUGCUAUGGGGAGUGCGGGUUCCCUAAGUUCACAAUUGCUGCGCUUCUGCAGAACACACGGUCCUCAGCUGAAGGAAACCAUAUCAAACGUGCCGGGAGCAUAAGCCAGACUUUCAGAGGUUCAAGGUCAACUCAAUUUCGAGAAGGAAUGUGCAUCUCAGGGCUACUGAGCAGAGCCUUCAAUGCCAAUUUAAUGCAAGUACUCUUCAUCCCGGAACACUAGAAGGCCAGACAUAAAGCUUUGACUUCAAGCCACACACAAAACAUGUGAUUCCAUAUGGGCUUUUGCUGCAUGGUAGCUGUUGAAGGCUUACGUGUGCCAGUUAAAGACAGCUUGAAGGUAACCACUUGAAAGUCAGCAUCAAACAAAG
This 2725-nucleotide small RNA is filed under the name Rattus norvegicus (Norway rat). RNAcentral's name for it is "uncharacterized LOC103692893". The record is from RNAcentral. Lineage: Eukaryota; Metazoa; Chordata; Mammalia; Rodentia; Muridae.